RNAcentral lists this small nucleolar RNA (38 nucleotides) under Curtobacterium sp. ER1/6. RNAcentral's name for it is "Small nucleolar RNA sR53". The record is from RNAcentral. Lineage: Bacteria; Bacillati; Actinomycetota; Actinomycetes; Micrococcales; Microbacteriaceae.
CCUCCUACAAUCGGGUCAUGCCCACCAUCGUGCACGGC